CCUGACCUCGGAUCAGACGUGAAU
Molecule: ribosomal RNA, 24 nt
Filed under: Haplorchis taichui
Lineage: Eukaryota; Metazoa; Platyhelminthes; Trematoda; Opisthorchiida; Heterophyidae
Description: partial 28S ribosomal RNA
Source: RNAcentral